Molecule: long non-coding RNA, 276 nt
Filed under: Capsicum annuum
Lineage: Eukaryota; Viridiplantae; Streptophyta; Magnoliopsida; Solanales; Solanaceae
Description: long non-coding RNA (CANN_LNC005286)
Source: RNAcentral
GGUGGGGGUUUUAUUCUUGUUAUGAUUCCGUGUUCCAUGUUUUAUUACGAAUCUGUGUGCUUUCCUCUGUUUUCUAAUACUUAUGGGUGCCGUAUUUAUGUUAUGUAAUCUAGUGCUGUGCUUUACUAUGAGUUUGUGUGGUAUCUCGUGACUUGAGCCGGGGGUCUAUCGGAAACAGCCUUUCUACUUCUUUAGAGGUAGAGGUAUGGACUGCGUACAUCUUACCCCCCCAGACCCCACUAGGUGGGAAUACACUGGGUUUGUUGUUGUUGUUGU